GUCAGGAUGGCCCAGUGGUCUAAGGCGCUGCGGUCAGGUCGCAGUCUCCUCUGGAGGCGUGGGUUCAAAUCCCACUUCUGACA
This 83-nucleotide transfer RNA is filed under the name Gadus morhua (Atlantic cod). RNAcentral's name for it is "tRNA-Leu (CAG) (tRNA-Leu-CAG-10-1)". It matches the Rfam family "tRNA". From Rfam's summary of the family: Transfer RNA (tRNA) molecules are approximately 80 nucleotides in length. Their secondary structure includes four short double-helical elements and three loops (D, anti-codon, and T loops). Lineage: Eukaryota; Metazoa; Chordata; Actinopteri; Gadiformes; Gadidae. The record is from Rfam by way of RNAcentral. RNAcentral also lists the same sequence under 1 other name.